This 2934-nucleotide ribosomal RNA is filed under the name Priestia megaterium. Its description in RNAcentral is "bacterial LSU rRNA". It matches the Rfam family "Bacterial large subunit ribosomal RNA". Lineage: Bacteria; Bacillati; Bacillota; Bacilli; Caryophanales; Bacillaceae. The record is from RNAcentral.
UUAAGUUAGAAAGGGCGCACGGUGAAUGCCUUGGCACUAGGAGCCGAUGAAGGACGGGACUAACACCGAUAUGCUUCGGGGAGCUGUAAGUGAGCUUUGAUCCGGAGAUUUCCGAAUGGGGAAACCCACUGUUCGUAAUGGAACAGUAUCUUUAUCUGAAUACAUAGGAUAUUGAAGGCAGACCCGGGGAACUGAAACAUCUAAGUACCCGGAGGAAGAGAAAGCAAAUGCGAUUUCCUGAGUAGCGGCGAGCGAAACGGAAUUAGCCCAAACCAAGAGGCUUGCCUCUUGGGGUUGUAGGACACUCUAUACGGAGUUACAAAGGAACGAAGUAAAUGAAGCGACCUGGAAAGGUCCGUCGAAGAAGGUAACAACCCUGUAGUUGAAACUUCGUUCCCUCUUGAGUGGAUCCUGAGUACGGCGGAACACGUGAAAUUCCGUCGGAAGCUGGGAGGACCAUCUCCCAAGGCUAAAUACUACCUAGUGACCGAUAGUGAACCAGUACCGUGAGGGAAAGGUGAAAAGCACCCCGGAAGGGGAGUGAAAGAGAUCCUGAAACCGUGUGCCUACAAGUAGUCAGAGCCCGUUAACGGGUGAUGGCGUGCCUUUUGUAGAAUGAACCGGCGAGUUACGAUCCCAUGCAAGGUUAAGCUGAUAAGGCGGAGCCGUAGCGAAAGCGAGUCUGAAUAGGGCGUUUAGUAUGUGGUUGUAGACCCGAAACCAGGUGAUCUACCCAUGUCCAGGGUGAAGUUCAGGUAACACUGAAUGGAGGCCCGAACCCACGCACGUUGAAAAGUGCGGGGAUGAGGUGUGGGUAGCGGAGAAAUUCCAAUCGAACCUGGAGAUAGCUGGUUCUCUCCGAAAUAGCUUUAGGGCUAGCCUCAUGUUGUGAGAGUCUUGGAGGUAGAGCACUGAUUGGACUAGGGGCCCCCAACGGGUUACCGAAUUCAGUCAAACUCCGAAUGCCAAAGACUUAUCCAUGGGAGUCAGACUGCGAGUGAUAAGAUCCGUAGUCAAAAGGGAAACAGCCCAGACCACCAGCUAAGGUCCCCAAGUAUACGUUAAGUGGAAAAGGAUGUGGAGUUGCUUAGACAACCAGGAUGUUGGCUUAGAAGCAGCCACCAUUUAAAGAGUGCGUAAUAGCUCACUGGUCGAGUGACUCUGCGCCGAAAAUGUACCGGGGCUAAACGUAUCACCGAAGCUGUGGAUUGACAUCUUUGAUGUCAGUGGUAGGAGAGCGUUCUAAGUGCAGCGAAGUCAGACCGUAAGGACUGGUGGAGCGCUUAGAAGUGAGAAUGCCGGUAUGAGUAGCGAAAGACAAGUGAGAAUCUUGUCCACCGAAUGCCUAAGGUUUCCUGAGGAAGGCUCGUCCGCUCAGGGUUAGUCGGGACCUAAGCCGAGGCUGAAAAGCGUAGGCGAUGGCCAACAGGUUGAUAUUCCUGUACCACCUCCCCGCCGUUUGAGUAAUGGGGGGACGCAGUAGGAUAGGGUAAGCGCGCUGCUGGAUAUGCGCGUUCAAGCAGUUAGGCUGAUGAGUAGGCAAAUCCGCUCAUCAUAAAGGCUGAGCUGUGAUGACGAGGGAAUUAUAGUACCGAAGUUCCUGAUUCCACACUGCCAAGAAAAGCCUCUAGCGAGGCGGGAGGUGCCCGUACCGCAAACCGACACAGGUAGGCGAGGAGAGAAUCCUAAGGUGAUCGAGAGAACUCUCGUUAAGGAACUCGGCAAAAUGACCCCGUAACUUCGGGAGAAGGGGUGCUCUGGUAGGGUGUAUAGCCCGAGAGAGCCGCAGUGAAUAGGCCCAGGCGACUGUUUAGCAAAAACACAGGUCUCUGCGAAGCCGCAAGGCGAAGUAUAGGGGCUGACGCCUGCCCGGUGCUGGAAGGUUAAGAGGAGGGGUUAUCCUUCGGGAGAAGCUCUGAAUCGAAGCCCCAGUAAACGGCGGCCGUAACUAUAACGGUCCUAAGGUAGCGAAAUUCCUUGUCGGGUAAGUUCCGACCCGCACGAAAGGCGUAACGAUCUGGGCACUGUCUCAACGAGAGACUCGGUGAAAUUAUAGUACCUGUGAAGAUGCAGGUUACCCGCGACAGGACGGAAAGACCCCGUGGAGCUUUACUGUAGCCUGAUAUUGAAUUUUGGUACAGCUUGUACAGGAUAGGUAGGAGCCUGAGAAGCCGGAGCGCUAGCUUCGGUGGAGGCGUCGGUGGGAUACUACCCUGGCUGUAUUGAAAUUCUAACCCGCGGCCCUGAUCGGGCCGGGAGACAGUGUCAGGUGGGCAGUUUGACUGGGGCGGUCGCCUCCUAAAAUGUAACGGAGGCGCCCAAAGGUUCCCUCAGAAUGGUUGGAAAUCAUUCGUAGAGUGUAAAGGCACAAGGGAGCUUGACUGCGAGACCUACAAGUCGAGCAGGGACGAAAGUCGGGCUUAGUGAUCCGGUGGUUCCGCAUGGAAGGGCCAUCGCUCAACGGAUAAAAGCUACCCCGGGGAUAACAGGCUUAUCUCCCCCAAGAGUCCACAUCGACGGGGAGGUUUGGCACCUCGAUGUCGGCUCAUCGCAUCCUGGGGCUGUAGUCGGUCCCAAGGGUUGGGCUGUUCGCCCAUUAAAGCGGUACGCGAGCUGGGUUCAGAACGUCGUGAGACAGUUCGGUCCCUAUCCGUCGUGGGCGUAGGAAAUUUGAGAGGAGCUGUCCUUAGUACGAGAGGACCGGGAUGGACACACCGCUGGUGUACCAGUUGUCUUGCCAAAGGCAUCGCUGGGUAGCUAUGUGUGGACGGGAUAAGUGCUGAAAGCAUCUAAGCAUGAAGCCCCCCUCAAGAUGAGAUUUCCCAUAGCGCAAGCUAGUAAGAUCCCUGAAAGAUGAUCAGGUUGAUAGGUCAGAGGUGGAAGCGUGGCGACAUGUGUAGCUGACUGAUACUAAUCGAUCGAGGACUUAACCAA